Molecule: ribosomal RNA, 324 nt
Filed under: uncultured bacterium
Lineage: Bacteria
Description: bacterial SSU rRNA
Rfam family: Bacterial small subunit ribosomal RNA
Source: RNAcentral
GAUGAACGCUGGCGGCGUGCUUAACACAUGCAAGUCGAACGAAGCACUUAAAUUUGAUUCUUCGGAUGAAGAUUUUUGUGACUGAGUGGCGGACGGGUGAGUAACGCGUGGGUAACCUGCCUCAUACAGGGGGAUAACAGUUAGAAAUGACUGCUAAUACCGCAUAAGCGCACGGUGUCGCAUGACACAGUGUGAAAAACUCCGGUGGUAUGAGAUGGACCCGCGUCUGAUUAGCUAGUUGGCGAGGUAACGGCCCACCAAGGCGACGAUCAGUAGCCGACCUGAGAGGGUGAUCGGCCACAUUGGGACUGAGACACGGCCCAA